This 302-nucleotide ribosomal RNA is filed under the name uncultured bacterium. RNAcentral's name for it is "bacterial SSU rRNA". It matches the Rfam family "Bacterial small subunit ribosomal RNA", at positions 30 to 334 of the family's 1533-position model. The record is from RNAcentral.
AUUGAACGCUGGCGGCAGGCCUAACACAUGCAAGUCGAGCGGUAACAGAUCUAGCUUGCUAGAUGCUGACGAGCGGCGGACGGGUGAGUAACGCGUAGGAAUCUACCCAGUAGUGGGGGACAACAGUUGGAAACGACUGCUAAUACCGCAUACACCCUACGGGGAAAAGGGGGCUUCGGCUCUCGCUAUUGGAUGAGCCUGCGUGAGAUUAGCUAGUUGGUAAGGUAAUGGCUUACCAAGGCGACGAUCUCUAGCUGGUUUGAGAGGAUGAUCAGCCACACUGGGACUGAGACACGGCCCAG